UAAGACGGGGGGGGCAAGCGUUGUCCGGAAUUACUGGGCGUAAAGGGCGCGUAGGCGGGCGCGUACGGCGGUGGUGAAAGCUCCCGGCUCAACUGGGAGAGGCCCAUCGCAACGGCGCGUCUUGAGGGUGGUAGAGGCGGAUGGAAUUCCUGGUGUAGCGGUGAAAUGCGUAGAGAUCAGGAGGAACACCCGUGGCGAAGGCGGUCCGCUGGGCCAUGCCUGACGCUGAGGCGCGAAGGCCAGGGGAGCGAACGGG
RNAcentral lists this ribosomal RNA (256 nucleotides) under uncultured bacterium. RNAcentral describes it as "partial 16S ribosomal RNA". It matches the Rfam family "Bacterial small subunit ribosomal RNA", at positions 521 to 776 of the family's 1533-position model. The record is from RNAcentral.